CAACCCUCGAGAACCCCUUCGCGGGGGGAUCGGUGUUGGGGAUCGACCGCCCUCAGCGGCGGACGUCCCCUAAAACUAGUGGCGGUCUCGCUGUAGCCUCCUCUGCGCAGUAGCUCUGUAUUCUCGCAGCCUGGAGAGCGGCGCGGCCACGCCGUAAAACCACAACUUUUUCAA
This 174-nucleotide unclassified non-coding RNA is filed under the name uncultured Hypocreales. RNAcentral's name for it is "sequence contains ITS2". The record is from RNAcentral. Lineage: Eukaryota; Fungi; Ascomycota; Sordariomycetes; Hypocreales.